UAAAGAUUCAUCGGCUGCGGAUGGCCAUGCGGCGCAUUAGCUAGUCGGCGGGGUAACGGCCCACCGAGGCGACGAUGCGUAGGGGUUCUGAGAGGAAGGUCCCCCACACUGGUACUGAGACACGGACCAGACUCCUACGGGAGGCAGCAGUGAGGAAUAUUGGUCAAUGGCCGGGAGGCUGAACCAGCCAAGUCGCGUGAGGGAAGACGGCCCUACGGGUUGUAAACCUCUUUUGUCAGGGAGCAGGGUGCAGGUCGGGACCUGCUGUGAGAGUACCUGAAGAAAAAGCAUCGGCUAACUCCGUGCCAGCAGCCGCGGUAAUACGGAGGAUGCGAGCGUUAUCCGGAUUUAUUGGGUUUAAAGGGUGCGCAGGCGGAGGCACAAGUCAGCGGUAAAAUCGCGGGGCUCAACCCCGCUCCGCCGUUGAAACUGUGUCCCUUGAGUGCGCGAAGGGUAGGCGGAAUGCGUGGUGUAGCGGUGAAAUGCAUAGAUAUCACGCAGAACUCCGAUCGCGAAGGCAGCCUACCGGCGCGCGACUGACGCUCAUGCACGAAAGCGUGGGUAUCGAACAGGAUUAGAUACCCUGGUAGUCCACGCAGUAAACGAUGAAUGCUAUCUGUCCGGCCGGAAUGACGGCUGG
This 640-nucleotide ribosomal RNA is filed under the name uncultured bacterium. Its description in RNAcentral is "bacterial SSU rRNA". It matches the Rfam family "Bacterial small subunit ribosomal RNA", at positions 202 to 842 of the family's 1533-position model. The record is from RNAcentral.